GACAGAUGCUUUAAUCUUUAUUCAUUAUUUGUAUUUUCUUGUAUUUUAAUUUAAUUUAUUUUUACAUUUCUUAAAUGUAUUUUCUUACAAUUGUCCAGUUACAUAUGUUUCAGGAUGGAAUUUUUUCAUUUCUGAAAAAAUUCCAUCUUCGCCCCUGGACUGUACAAGACAUUUCAUAUUCUCACAUGGCGACAGGAAAGACUAGUAAUUAUUAGAACUUGGUAUUUCAAUUGCCCUACUCUUGGUACCAUCAAACUGUCUUUCCUGCCGUCCAGUCUUUAAAGAUGGGUAGUUUGCUAACUCCUCCUCCUUCCAUAUGCUUUACGCGAGCGAAAACGGCGACGAGGAGCCAGGCAGCCCGGCCGUCAGGCAGACUCAGAGAGCGACUCAUAGAGAGAGACACAGAGAGAAGAGAGCAGAGACCUCACUCACCUGGGAAGGUUCCUACAAUUUUGAUUCGUCCGGACAUGCCUGUCUUAGGCUAAAGGCUUUUAUUGGGAUCCCUGGUCUACGUCACCCUCUUGAGAAAAUUCUGCCGAAAUCCAUCUGCAACGCCUUUGUGCAUGGUUCGACAAUGGUGAGUACCAAGAAUAUAUAGGGCUUAUUUUUAAGGUUAUCAUUGCGAACUCUCAUUGCCUUGUGUUGCCUAUUCAAGUUUUCCUGUCUGUCAUUUUUUCUUAUGAAGAUUUGUUAUAGUUUUUUGUGGUCAAUAUGUUUUAUACAUCGUAUUCUCUUGUCCUUUCAGGUGAUUUAGCUCUCGGACUAGUAACUCUAGCUUAUUCAUAAAUUCACCUUGUUAACACUUGGGAUGGUGUUUGGUUUCGGUGUAUCGGCCCUUUUAUUUCCUUCCUGAUACUAAUGUAAAACCUCAGUUGCUCAAUUGUAAGACAGCGAGCGAAGCAGAACGAAGGAAACGCCCUACGAUCUACGUGAAUUGCCUUGUUCUCCUACCAGUUGUUUAUAACUACGGUACUACGUCAUUUUA
Molecule: long non-coding RNA, 985 nt
Organism: Macrobrachium nipponense
Lineage: Eukaryota; Metazoa; Arthropoda; Malacostraca; Decapoda; Palaemonidae
Exons: 3
Source: RefSeq, a predicted model, not a curated record